This 468-nucleotide ribosomal RNA is filed under the name uncultured bacterium. RNAcentral describes it as "partial 16S ribosomal RNA". It matches the Rfam family "Bacterial small subunit ribosomal RNA", at positions 28 to 507 of the family's 1533-position model. The record is from RNAcentral.
GACGAACGCUGGCGGCGUGCUUAACACAUGCAAGUCGAACGGAAAGGCCCUGCUUUUGUGGUGCGCUCGAGUGGCAAACGGGUGUGUAACACGUGAGUAACCUCCCCCUCUCUUUGGUAUAACUUCAGGAAACUGGGGAUUAUACCGGAUGGGAGCUCCUGCUGCAUGGUGGGGGUUGGAUAGUUUCGGCGGUUGGGGAUGGACUCGCGGCUUAUCAGCUUGUUGGUGGGUUAGUGGCUUACCAAGGCUCGGGCGGCUAGCCGGCCGGGGUGGGGGACCGGCAACAUGGGAACGGGGAUAGGGCCCGGACUCCUCGGGGAGGCAGCGGGGGGGAAUAUUGCACAAUGGGCGGAGCCCGGAGGCGCGAAGGCCGGUGGCGGGAGGACGGCCUCCGGGUUGUAACCCGUUUCGGCAGGGGACGAAGCGUGAGUGACGGUAACUGGUUAAGAAGCACCGGCUAACUACGUG